Molecule: ribosomal RNA, 492 nt
Filed under: uncultured bacterium
Lineage: Bacteria
Description: partial 16S ribosomal RNA
Rfam family: Bacterial small subunit ribosomal RNA
Source: RNAcentral
AGUGAACGCUGGCGGUAGGCCUAACACAUGCAAGUCGAACGGCAGCACAGUAAGAGCUUGCUCUUACGGGUGGCGAGUGGCGGACGGGUGAGGAAUACAUCGGAAUCUACUUUUUCGUGGGGGAUAACGUAGGGAAACUUACGCUAAUACCGCAUACGACCUACGGGUGAAAGCAGGGGAUCUUCGGACCUUGCGCGAGUGAAUGAGCCGAUGUCGGAUUAGCUAGUUGGCGGGGUAAAGGCCCACCAAGGCGACGAUCCGUAGCUGGUGUGAGAGGAUGAUCAGCCACACUGGAACUGAGACACGGUCCAGACUCCUACGGGAGGCAGCAGUGGGGAAUGUUGGACAAGGGGAUGAAGCCUGAUCCAACCAUACCGCGUGGGUGAAGAAGGCCUUCGGGUUGUAAAGCCCUUUUGUUGGGAAAGAAAAGCAGCAGGUUAAUACCCCGCUGUUCUGACGGUACCCAAAGAAUAAGCACCGGCUAACUUCGUG